RNAcentral lists this long non-coding RNA (456 nucleotides) under Hordeum vulgare. Its description in RNAcentral is "long non-coding RNA (HVUL_LNC015485)". The record is from RNAcentral. Lineage: Eukaryota; Viridiplantae; Streptophyta; Magnoliopsida; Poales; Poaceae.
CGGAGAAGGAGGGCGUGUAGCUCCUCAGGUUCAGGGAGCGGCGGCCGGCGGAGCACCAGGUGGGGGCGGCGGUGGUGGUGUUGGGACCCUUGGCCUGGGCGGCGCCGUCGGAGAAAGGCUUGUAGGAGGCCGCGUAGGAGGCGCUGUAGCACCGGAGGUUGAGCCCCGGGGUGGGGCCGGCGCCGGAGACGGUCCUCGUGCUGCCGCUCCGCUGCACGGCGGGCGCCGCCACGGAGGUGGUGCUCCUGGCCCGCUGCACCUUGGUGGGCACGUAGGAGGCGGCGUAGGAGGCGCUGUGGCACCGGAGGUCGUUGGCCGGCGCCGCGACGGUGCUCCUCUCGGCCAGCGACACCGACCUCUCCAUUGGCAUCUUGUCCCGCUCCGCCUACGUGUUCGCGCGGGUGUGGUCACUCUCGUGCGGGCCGAGCUCUGGCGUCAGGAACCGAUGGCUGGUGG